AUGAUUUUCUACUUUGUAAACGCCCAAUGUUAUCUCAUUCUCUCUGCUUGCUUUCAAAUGCGACAAUAUAUUUCUCUCUUUUCUCUUUAUCUGUUGAUGAAAAUUUGGUUCACUAUCCUUAUGUUGCCUGAAAUAUUAAGAUUUCAAGCGAGUCUAUAUAUUUUCUCGCAUACUUCUCAAUUUCCAUCCACUCAGAAGAGGAACUCCCAAUUCAGAGGGUUCACAUAUCACAAUUGA
Molecule: non-coding RNA, 237 nt
Organism: Vicia faba (fava bean)
Lineage: Eukaryota; Viridiplantae; Streptophyta; Magnoliopsida; Fabales; Fabaceae
Source: the annotation of a GenBank genome assembly